Molecule: ribosomal RNA, 330 nt
Filed under: uncultured bacterium
Lineage: Bacteria
Description: bacterial SSU rRNA
Rfam family: Bacterial small subunit ribosomal RNA
Source: RNAcentral
UGUGUAGGCGGUUGCUUAAGUUUGGUGUGAAAUCUCCCGGCUCAACUGGGAGGGUGCGCCGAAUACUGAGUGACUCGAGUGCGGGAGAGGAAAGUGGAAUUCCUGGUGUAGCGGUGAAAUGCGUAGAUAUCAGGAGGAACACCGGUGGUGUAGACGGCUUUCUGGACCGUAACUGACGCUGAAACACGAAAGCGUGGGUAGCAAACAGGAUUAGAUACCCUGGUAGUCCACGCCCUAAACGAUGCGCAUUUGGUGUGGGUCAUUCAGUUGAUCCGUGCCGGAGCUAACGCGUUAAAUGUGCCGCCUGGGGAGUACAGUCGCAAGGCUGAA